Molecule: ribosomal RNA, 433 nt
Filed under: uncultured bacterium
Lineage: Bacteria
Description: partial 16S ribosomal RNA
Rfam family: Bacterial small subunit ribosomal RNA
Source: RNAcentral
AACGAACGCUGGCGGCAUGCCUAACACAUGCAAGUCGAACGAGACCUUCUGGUCCAGUUGCGCACUGGUGCGUAACGCGUGGGAACCUUCCCUUAGGUUCGGAAUAACUCCCCGAAGGGGGUGCUAAUAGCGGAUAAUGUCUUCUAACCCAUGAUUAAUCGCCUUAGGAUGGGCCCGAUUUGGAUUAGCUAUUUGGUAAGGUAAAAGCCUACCAAGGCUAAGUUGCAUAGCUGGUCUGAGAGGAUGAUCAGAAACACUAGGUGUGUGACCCGGCGGAGACUCUUGGGGGAGGCAGAAGUGGGGAAUAUUGGACGCUGGGCGAGAGAAUGAUGCAGUAAUGCCGCGUGAGUGAUGAAGUAGUUAGGGUUGUAAAGCAGUUUUAAAAGGGAUGAUAAUGACGGUACCGAGAGAAUAAGCUCCGGCUAACUCCGUG